ACUCCUACGGGAGGCAGCAGUAGGGAAUCUUCCACAAUGGGCGCAAGCCUGAUGGAGCAACACCGCGUGAGUGAAGAAGGGUUUCGGCUCGUAAAGCUCUGUUGUUAAAGAAGAACACGUAUGAGAGUAACUGUUCAUACGUUGACGGUAUUUAACCAGAAAGUCACGGCUAACUACGUGCCAGCAGCCGCGGUAAUACGUAGGUGGCAAGCGUUAUCCGGAUUUAUUGGGCGUAAAGAGAGUGCAGGCGGUUUUCUAAGUCUGAUGUGAAAGCCUUCGGCUUAACCGGAGAAGUGCAUCGGAAACUGGAUAACUUGAGUGCAGAAGAGGGUAGUGGAACUCCAUGUGUAGCGGUGGAAUGCGUAGAUAUAUGGAAGAACACCAGUGGCGAAGGCGGCUACCUGGUCUGCAACGUGACGCUGAGACUCGAAAGCAUGGGUAGCGAACAGGAUUAGAUA
This 458-nucleotide ribosomal RNA is filed under the name uncultured bacterium. RNAcentral describes it as "bacterial SSU rRNA". It matches the Rfam family "Bacterial small subunit ribosomal RNA", at positions 335 to 784 of the family's 1533-position model. The record is from RNAcentral.